GACGAACGCUGGCGGCGUGCCUAAUACAUGCAAGUUGAGCGAUGAAGAUUGGUGCUUGCCCCAAUUUGAAGAGCAGCGAACGGGUGAGUAACGCGUGGGGAAUCUGCCUUUGAGCGGGGGACAACAUUUGGAAACGAAUGCUAAUACCGCAUAAUAACUUUAAACAUAAGUUUUAAGUUUGAAAGAUGCAAUUGCAUCACUCAAAGAUGAUCCCGCGUUGUAUUAGCUAGUUGGUGAGGUAAAGGCUCACCAAGGCGAUGAUACAUAGCCGACCUGAGAGGGUGAUCGGCCACAUUGGGACUGAGACACGGCCCAAACUCCUACGGGAGGCAGCAGUAGGGAAUCUUCGGCAAUGGACGAAAGUCUGACCGAGCAACGCCGCGUGAGUGAAGAAGGUGUUCGGAUCGUAAAACUCUGUUGGUAGAGAAGAACGUUGGUGAGAGUGGAAAGCGCAUCAAGUGACGGUAACUACCCAGAAAGGGACGGCUAACUACGU
This 496-nucleotide ribosomal RNA is filed under the name uncultured bacterium. Its description in RNAcentral is "partial 16S ribosomal RNA". It matches the Rfam family "Bacterial small subunit ribosomal RNA", at positions 28 to 506 of the family's 1533-position model. The record is from RNAcentral.